RNAcentral lists this transfer RNA (66 nucleotides) under Isodiametra pulchra. Its description in RNAcentral is "tRNA-His". The record is from RNAcentral. Lineage: Eukaryota; Metazoa; Xenacoelomorpha; Acoela; Isodiametridae.
UUGAAUGUAAUAAGAAUUUAUUAAUAAAAAUUCCACAAAUUUUCGUUUUUUUUAAACUAACAUUCA